AGGGUAUGAUGAGAAAAGUCAUGAACUACUCUGAGGAGAUUUAUCUCUUUGUGCUGAUAAACAAACUUUACAACCCAUUGUAAAUCCAAGCCA
This 93-nucleotide small nucleolar RNA is filed under the name Triticum aestivum (bread wheat). RNAcentral describes it as "snoRNA snoZ221_snoR21b". It matches the Rfam family "Small nucleolar RNA Z221/R21b". From Rfam's summary of the family: Z221 is a member of the C/D class of snoRNA which contain the C (UGAUGA) and D (CUGA) box motifs. The record is from Rfam by way of RNAcentral. Lineage: Eukaryota; Viridiplantae; Streptophyta; Magnoliopsida; Poales; Poaceae. RNAcentral also lists the same sequence under 1 other name.